CUCAUUUUUCCUUGUUCGGGGUUUGAGGUGCCACCUUACAAAAGGAUGGGUGUACGCUCUCUUUUCAGAAUGUGGUUCAUCUCAAAGCCCUUUACACUUUGGAGCCAGGCCUGUUCAAUUUUACAAAUAACACGUUUUGCUUGUAGUCAGGGUGCUGUGACAACAUGAAGAGUUCGAGCUACCUCCCAGGAUGAGUGCAGGUUUUCCUGGUGACAAAUCUCAGGCAUUCAAAGGUUCUGUUAGCAGUGCCAUACUUGUGGGUUUACAGAGAUGGUGUGUCUGGCUGAGAACAAAGGAGCCGUACCAGGAAAGUUGAAGCAUAUCUUCAUUUUCAAGUCCAGGCUAAAAUAAGGUCUGAGGAAAAGAAUGAGCUGCGUGUGAAGGAUAGGAACAGAAAUCAUGAAAGAUCUGUUUGUCCAGGCCAGUGUUUCACCAUAAGAGAUCACUUUAAAAUAAAUGAUGAAAUAAUUCUUUGCAAUUGCAAAUUUACCUUCCUUGCUUACCACAUUGUUAACUGUAGGAGCUGAUACCUGGUUCUUCCACUGUUAACUUGUACUCUGUGUUUGUUCUAGCAAUAAAUGCUCUUUAUGC
Molecule: unclassified non-coding RNA, 591 nt
Filed under: Mus musculus (house mouse)
Lineage: Eukaryota; Metazoa; Chordata; Mammalia; Rodentia; Muridae
Description: UHG
Source: RNAcentral